RNAcentral lists this ribosomal RNA (491 nucleotides) under uncultured bacterium. RNAcentral describes it as "partial 16S ribosomal RNA". It matches the Rfam family "Bacterial small subunit ribosomal RNA", at positions 29 to 506 of the family's 1533-position model. The record is from RNAcentral.
AGUGAACGCUGGCGGUAGGCCUAACACAUGCAAGUCGAACGGCAGCACAGUAAGAGCUUGCUCUUACGGGUGGCGAGUGGCGGACGGGUGAGGAAUACAUCGGAAUCUACUUUUUCGUGGGGGAUAACGUAGGGAAACUUACGCUAAUACCGCAUACGACCUACGGGUGAAAGCAGGGGAUCUUCGGACCUUGCGCGAUUGAAUGAGCCGAUGUCGGAUUAGCUAGUUGGCGGGGUAAAGGCCCACCAAGGCGACGAUCCGUAGCUGGUCUGAGAGGAUGAGCAGCCACACUGGAACUGAGACACGGUCCAGACUCCUACGGGAGGCAGCAGUGGGGAAUAUUGGACAAUGGGCGCAAGCCUGAUCCAGCCAUACCGCGUGGGUGAAGAAGGCCUUCGGGUCGUAAAGCCCUUUUGUUGGGAAAGAAAAGCAGCAGGUUAAUACCCCGCUGUUCUGACGGUACCCAAAGAAUAAGCACCGGCUAACUUCGU